Molecule: long non-coding RNA, 264 nt
Filed under: Mytilus galloprovincialis (Mediterranean mussel)
Lineage: Eukaryota; Metazoa; Mollusca; Bivalvia; Mytilida; Mytilidae
Source: RNAcentral
AAGCACAUACCAGAAAGAAGUACAUAUUUAACACAAAAUAGUUCCUACGCAUAAGUGUAACUUUCAAAAUAUGUAGAAUAUUUAGGUAUUUUUGGUAUGAAAUGAAAGUUGAAGGACUGGUGAUCAUUGUAGAACACUUUUGGACUUUUAAUCAUGAAUAUUAAAAAAAACUGCAUCAAAUUUUAAAAAGAGGGUUCAUUUUGUCUGUUUGUCAGAUUUGAAGUACCUGUUUUGGUACAUCCGAAGUUCCGGGAACCAGUUCUU